AGUGAACGCUGGCGGUAUGCCUAACACAUGCAAGUCGAACGGCAGCACAGUAAGAUCUUGCUCUUACGGGUGGCGAGUGGCGGACGGGUGAGGCAUACAUCGGAAUCUACUUUUUCGUGGGGGAUAACGUAGGGACACUUACGCUAAUACCGCAUACGACCUACGGGUGAAAGCAGUGGAUCUUCGGACCUUUCGCGUCUGAAUGAGCCGAUGGCGGAUUAGCUAGUUGGCGGGGUAAAGGCCCACCAAGGCGACGAUCCGUAGCUGGUCUGAGAGGAUGAUCAGCCACACUGGAACUGAGACACGGUCCAGACUCCUACGGGAGGCAGCAGUAGGGAAUCUUCGACAAUGGGCGCAAGCCUGAUCCAGCCACACCGCGUGGGUGAAGAAGGCCUUCGGGUUGUAAAGCCCUUUUGUUGGGAAAGAAAAGCAGCAGGUUAAUACCCCGCUGUUCUGACGGUACCCAAAGAAUAAGCACCGGCUAACUUCGUG
This 492-nucleotide ribosomal RNA is filed under the name uncultured bacterium. Its description in RNAcentral is "partial 16S ribosomal RNA". It matches the Rfam family "Bacterial small subunit ribosomal RNA", at positions 29 to 507 of the family's 1533-position model. The record is from RNAcentral.